Long non-coding RNA from Dreissena polymorpha, 535 nucleotides. RefSeq lists it as uncharacterized. The record is from RefSeq and is a predicted model, not a curated record. The transcript is spliced from 3 exons. NCBI's taxonomy places the organism in Eukaryota, Metazoa, Mollusca, Bivalvia, Myida, Dreissenidae.
GGAAUACUCAUCCUUCAGGUUAGAUAGAGAGGAAUACUCACCCUUCAGGUUAGAUAGAGAGGAAUACUCAUCCUUCAGGUUAGAUAGAGAGGAAUACUCAUCCUUCAGGUUAGAUAGAGAGGAAUACUCAUCCUUCAGGUUAGAUAGAGAGGAAUACUCAUCCUUCAGGUUAAAUGGAGAGGAAUACUCAUCCUUCAGGUGAGAUAGAGAGGAAUACUCACCCUUCAGGUUAGAUAGAGAUAAGAUGAUGGUUAAAGUUGUAAGAAAGGCUAGGAACUCUGGCUGAAUGGCUCCCUUAAGUUGAGAAUUGUUUUAUAACCAUGUUUAAAUGUGUGUUUUGGAUGACUGUACAAUAAAAAUAAUAUGAAGGUUAUAAUUGGAAUAAUUUUAUUUUUAUUAAGUGUGUGUGCAUAUAACAAAGGAGUAAAUAUAUAUACCAGUAUUUAAGUGAACAAAUCAUAUUUGAAUCAAUGCACUUAUUUGGCAAAUAGCAGUCUCUGAUUUGAAAGAAUGUCCAACUGUUGUUUUCAUUUUG